RNAcentral lists this ribosomal RNA (492 nucleotides) under uncultured bacterium. RNAcentral describes it as "partial 16S ribosomal RNA". It matches the Rfam family "Bacterial small subunit ribosomal RNA", at positions 29 to 507 of the family's 1533-position model. The record is from RNAcentral.
AGUGAACGCUGGCGGUAGGCCUAACACAUGCAAGUCGAACGGCAGCACAGUAAGAGCUUGCCCUUACGGGUGGCGAGUGGCGGACGGGUGAGGAAUACAUCGGAAUCUACUUUUUCGUGGGGGAUAACGUAGGGAAACUUACGCUAAUACCGCAUACGUCCUACGGGUGAAAGCAGGGGAUCUUCGGACCUUUCGCGAUUGAAUGAGCCGAUGUCGGAUUAGCUAGUUGGCGGGGUAAAGGCCCACCAAGGCGACGAUCCGUAGCUUGUCUGAGAGGAUGAUCAGCGAAACUGGAACUGAGACACGGUCCAGACUCCUACGGGAGGCAGCAGUGGGGAAUAUUGGACAAUGGGCGAAAGCAUGAUCCAGCAAUACCGCGUGGGUGAAGAAGGCCUUCGGGUUGUAAAGCCCUUUUGUUGGGAAAGAAAAGCAGCAGGUUAAUACCCCGCUGUUAUGACGGUACCCAAAGAAUAAGCACCGGCUAACUUCGUG